Molecule: long non-coding RNA, 16040 nt
Filed under: Marmota monax (woodchuck)
Lineage: Eukaryota; Metazoa; Chordata; Mammalia; Rodentia; Sciuridae
Source: RNAcentral
UUCUCCAUGCAGAACUGAGAAGCAUCAGCAGCAACAACUAUAAUUCAGAGCCAAACUGCCAGAAACUAAGGAUGGACAAACCUCCCCUCCCAAGCCCCUUCUUUGACCCUGGAUUUCACAGGUAGAGAAAUUCCACAUACUCCUUAAGAGGGACAGAGCUGGGAGCACAAGGUUUUCUGGGAAAACCAGUGGCAGAGGCUCCCUGCUUUUCUACAAGACACUUAUCUUCUUACUCAGGGAACCAAUAUUUUCUUCAACCAAGUGGAAGUCCAUGGGCUUUCUCUUUUAUUUGAGUACCCACCCCAGCCUCAGAGCCAGUUGACCAACGGGAAACUGUAUGGGGCUUUUCUAAGCCCUCUGGGGGAACUCAAAGUAAGUCUCAGUGGAGAAAAUGUAGGAUUGGCCUGUGGUCUUGGUUGUAACCCUGUCUCUUAUAAAAUUGUGGUAUCAGAUGAAAUAUGAAUAUAGUCCCUGGAAAGUGUAGACUUGUCACAAAGGCAUGAUUAACGGUAAGUCACCAUGAUUGCUUCCUAUCUGUCAUUCAGGGGUCUGUCUUCCUGAAUCAUUGUAAAAGUUGUUCAUAUUCUGGCUUCAUGUAUGUGUGUGUGUGUGUGUGUGUAUAUAAAGGCUCAACCCUCAUAUCAUUAGUUUCAAAAUCAGUUGUUCUGCCAGUGUCUAAUUGUGUGACAGUAAACAUUCACAUAAUCUCUAAGCCCAAAUUUUCUCAUUUACAUGCCUACCGUGCAUUCUUGCUCAAAUAAAAUCUCAACUUUAAUUUUGGAACCUCAGGGUCUCAGGGCUAGGUGGGAAGCUUGUAUAUCAUCUGAUAUGGCCUUUACCUUAUGCUCGCACUCACCCCUCACCAGCCUCACAGACAAAUGAUCCUGCAACUUCAGACUGAAACUGACCUGGCUGUGAGCUAACUCCCUCAGGAGUUCUGAUUGGUAGGAAGUUCUUUAUUGUGGUAAGAUGAACUCUAUACCCUCUAGUUACUAUUACCUGUUGGUAUCUGUGUUACCUCUGGAUCCAUUAACCUAAUUUAAUCACGACAUUGAAUAAUUCUGUAAAUGCCAUUACAUUUUUUUUUUUAACAUAAUCACUCAGCUCCUUUGCUGGCUCCACCUUUGGAGAUUCUGAUCUGAGUUGAGUUAUAAAACAGCAUCAGGUAUUUCUAAACAUUUCCAAGUGUUCUUGUUGCUUUGUUCUGAUGAUCCCCCAGAGGCAUGAAUUCUACUGCCAUGACUGGAAGAGCAGGUGUCUUAAACUUGGAUUAUUUUAUUUUAUUUGGAAGUGAUUUCUCCUUCUUAUGACCUUCAUUUAUUUUUUUUUUAAUUCUAAACAAAAAAAAAAAGAUGAAUACAAUUUUAGAAGAGAACUUGAAAGCUUCUAAGUAACAAAAUGAAAGUCAUUUGUAACUCAACUAUUUGUAAAAAUAUAAAUAAGACUGUAUUUUAUGCCUUGUAUCUGGAUCAUGUUUCAGUAUAUGUAUUUAUAUGCAAUUGUUGAAACUGGCAGUCCAUGUGGUUCUAGGUGCUAACCUGGUACUGAGCAUUAUGUUGUCUUUUCGUAAGUAUUAUCAUAAUGGUUGCAUCAUAAUAUUUUGUUGAAUGAAUGCACCAUAAUUUACUUAAUGAAUCCCCGAUUGUAAUCCCCACUUUGGGUUCAGUUUUUAGGAACACCAAGGCUAUUUUCUUUGAAGAGUGGAAAUAUGAGAAAAGGUAAUGCCUGUAGGUUCCCAUCACAAAAUAUUUUUUUCCCAAGUGUUAAAGUAACCCCUUCACCCUUUUUUUUUCUUUUCUUUUCUUAAAUUAGAGUCACUAGGGCAAGUGUGUCCAAUCCUGUUGGAGCUGGAAAGUUGAAAACACAGGUUGAUGUGCAUGUGUGUGUGUAAAUUGUACUUCCCAAAUUCAAGCUUACAGUAUCAUAUUGGUGAUGUCUGUGACAAACAAGACUUCUUUGGUUUGUCCCUUUUACAGAUUCAAAAGGCCCACCCAGGGCUGGAACAACCUUUUCCUCUGAUAUUCAGAAUUUUCUUGGAAAUUACUAUCCCUCUGUGUCAGGAAGAAAGCACUUGAACCCAGAACAGAAAUCAAAAUAUUCCACGUGUGCCUUGUAUUGACAUAAUUUGGAUCCACUUAUUUAUAAGCACAUCACCCUGGUGGCACAAAGGUUCCACCUUCAAUGAUCAGAUCAGUCCCCCAGGGUUACUAUUAAGAGUGGCAAUAUCCUCUCUACUCUGUAAACAUAAUCAAUUCUAGUUAUGUUCUUCAUGUGUCCAUUAAAAAAGGUGGAUGAGAGCUACCAAGAUGACUCCCUGGUUUUGGUAGUGAGGUACCCAUAUCGGGUGGGCAGAUCCUCCUCGUGGUUGACUAUGAAAAGUAAGAGUGAAGCAUUUUGCUCCUCUGCCGCAGUCCGGCUGCAGCAAAAUAACCGGGGGGCAGGGGGGUGGGGUGACGAAUAACUUGUGUACGUUGAUACAGCAGGAGUAGGAGCCCUUUAUUGCAGGACAGGAGCAGUAUUUAUACAUUCCACACAGCUUAUCUAAUUAGCAUAAACUAGAUACAUCAGUCAACCAAUAAGGAAUCUCCACACUUAAUGGCUUGUUUUUGUUACUUCUCAAACCACUCCCUCUGGCAUUUUGCCAGGCACCAUCCAGACUUGUUUACGAACUUUAACAUUCCCCUGGCAAAAUGCCAGGUGUUAUUUUGACUUGUUUACAGACUCUAACAUUUCCCCCUUUUGUUUAAUUUAAAUAACAACCAUAGUGGUUUUUACAGAAACACCAUAAAUAACCUGCUACAAACAGAAAGGGAGGAUACAAAAUGCCACAAUACCAAGCCAAUUGAUGGCUCCAUGCAAGAAGCCCUUGGAAAAAUUAUACCAGCAAUGACACUGUUAGUAAAGAUACCGAGUUACAAUUUGUUAUAGAUUACAGUUUGUUGUCUCAGUCCAGGUAAAGUAGUGUCUCAAUAGAUUAACUCACAGUCCAGGUAAAUCACAGUCCAGGUAAGUUCUGCAGACAGCUAGCUUAAAUCAUAGUCCAGGUAAGUUUUGCAGGCAACUAGCUUGAUCCGAAGUCUUGUCCGUUUCUCAGCUGAAGUCUUGUCCGGUUUUCAGCAACACUGGAAAUUCUUCCACCUUGGUCUUUACCGGCACUGGGACGAAGGCAGGAACUCAGGAUGGCUAAAGAAAAUCCUAUAGCAUUCUACUAAGAAAACAACCUUCUGAACAAUUUAGUACAUUAUCUCAAGGUUUUUUACAUUUGAAAUAAGCCUUAAUAGUGCUCAUUACUCAUUAGCUUCCAGGUGUGGGAGAACCAUUGUAGUUUAGUUAUUGGCAUUGAAAAUGACCAAACAUCAGGGACACCAGUAGCAUCUUCUGCUGGCUGUAGUGCCUGGGCAACCCCAGAUGGCCCUGGGGAGUGUCCCGGACUCAAACUGCUACUGGGCACAGGGAGCAAGAGCCUGCGAGACUGUGCCUCCAGGUCAGGUCUAGAUUUGGGCUCGCGGCAGUGGAAGAGCCAGCUCCCCAGCCAGGAGGCGGGGAAGGGCCAGUUGCUUCCGCCUCUUGGAAAAUCCUUGCUGCGCUGUGACCGGCUUGCACACUCGGCAGCCGCCUCUCCGCUUCACGCACCCUCCGGUAACGAAAAGUAUUUAGUAAUAGCCUUUUGCUGCAACUUUUUUCCUGAUAAUCCUUCUUCUUCUGAACUUUCUUUUUCUUUCUGACUAGAGUUCCUGGGCUCUUAUCAACACAUGCCCUAACUAUUCUUGGUUCCACUGGGGUGCCUUCUUCCCUUAGUAAUUUACUUCUCACCCCUUCCAUAUUUUCAUCACAAAGACAAUACAAUACACUGAGACAAAACAAGACACAAACAUACUGUAUCAAUCUUUUCCAUUUUCUCGAAAUGGUCAUUUUUCCUCUCGCCCUAUCUGUCUAGGGACGAGCAGAUUUGCUCCCGUCCUAUCUAUGGACGGGCAGCUUUUUUUCGUCACUUACCCCCAAGUGUCCCAGGGCUCCCGGUACGGGCCACCAUCUGCCACAGUCCGGCUGCAGCAGAAUAAUCAGGGGGGUGACGAAUAACUUGUGUANNNNNNNNNNNNNNNNNNNNNNNUUUAUUGCAGGACAGGAGCAGUAUUUAUACAUUCCACACAGCUUAUCUAAUUAGCAUAAACUAGAUACAUCAGUCAACCAAUAAGGAAUCUCCACACUUAAUGGCUUGUUUUUGUUACUUCUCAAACCACUCCCUCUGGCAUUUUGCCAGGCACCAUCCAGACUUGUUUACGAACUUUAACAUUCCCCUGGCAAAAUGCCAGGUGUUAUUUUGACUUGUUUACAGACUCUAACACUCCUCCUUUCCCACGAUAUAACUUUAAUAACUAGGAAGGCCAGGACCUUUUAACUACUAACUUUGGUUCAAAUACAAAGAAAAAUGAUUAUCGAGAUUGAUCUUUUGAUAUACCAGGGAUGAGAGAAGCCAUGCAGAUUAGGAGGAAAGGGUAGUGAUGGCCAACCUUAUCUAUAGUUCAUAUAUUUAAAAUUCAGAACUGUGGACAUCCUGAAUCGAAAAGUUUUUGGCCACUCAAAAUCAAAAUCAGCUUCUCAAAAAGAGACAAGACACUCUGCUCAUAGAAUGGAACCACCAUAAUCUGUCAGUGAAUUUCUCAGCACAAACGUUGCAGGCUAGGAGAGAGUGGGAUGAUGUAUUCGAUGUCCUGAAAGAAAAAAAAAAAUUCUGCAAGCCAAGAAUACCAUGUUUAACAAGAUUGCCCUUCACAAAUGGAGGCAAGAUAAUGAUAUUCCCAGAUAAACAAAAGGUAAGGAAGUUCAUCACCAGUAAACCUGCCUUACAAGAAAUGUUAGAGUGAGUUCUUAAAGUGGAAGUGAAAGGAUUCUAUUUAGUCAUGUGAAAAUAUAUGUAAGUAUAAAAUUCUGGUAAAUAUAUAAUGCAUUUCAGAAUAUUUAAUUCUAUAUUGGUAGUAUAUAAAUCACUUUUGUAUAAAGAUUAAAAUACAAGUAUUGUAAAUACUUAUAGCUAUAAUAAUUUGUUAAUGGAUAGAAAAUACAUCAAAGAUCUGAGUUGUGACUUUAACGCAUCAAAUAUGGGGUGGCUAAAAGUGUAUGAUUUUUGUAUGUUCUGAAACUUAGCGGGAUAAAAGCUAUUAUAGGGCAAUAACCACAGCAAAAAUGUACAGUAGAUCCACAAAGAUAAAGAAAAAAGAAUGAAAACAUAACCACCGAAGAAAAACAUCAACUCACAAAGGAAGAUAGUCAUGUUCUUCAUGUGUCCAUUAAAAAAGGUGGAUCAUAGCUACCAAGAUGACUCCCUGGUUUUGGUAGUGGUACCCAUGUCGGGUGGGCGGAUCCUCAUCAUGGUUGACUAUGAUAAGUAAGAGUGAAGAGCAAGGAAGGAAGAAAGGAGAAAGAAGGAACAAAGAAACUACAAAACAGUCCUCAAACAAAAACAAAGUGGUAAGUAGCAAGUUCUGACCUUUCUGUCCUUAAUUGCUUUGAAUGUGAAUAGGUGAAAUUCUAUAAUGCAAAGACUAGGAUGGCUGAACAAACAUUAAAUAGAGAAAAAGAAAAGAUUCAAUAUAUGCUUCCUACAAGACACAUACUUCAGUCUUAAAUAAAAACAUAAGCGAAAAGGGAGGGUAUGUGAAAAGACUCCAGACAAAUUAGAAACCAAAAGAUAAUAGGGAUAGAUAUGUUUAGACUAAGUAAAAUGUAAAUAAAAAAUUAACAAAAAAAGAAGGUAGUAAGGAAUGGAAAAGGGGUCAGGUAAUAAGAGGGUAUAAUAAUUGUAGUUAUAUAUGCAACCAGCAGUGGAGCAUCUAAAUAUAUUAAGCAAAUAUUAACAGAUCUGAAGUUAGUAAUAUCAGUAUUAUGAAAAGGGCCAAACACCAUGAUCAAGCGGUAUUUAUUUUGGGGAAUGAAAGGAUGGUUUAAUAUAUGCACAUAAGUGUGAUAUUCCACAUGUCUAGAAUGAAUGAUGAAAACCAUACAAUCAUCUUAAUGGGUGAAGAAAACAUAUUUGACAUAAACCUUUUCAGGACAAAACUCUGAUGAUGUGUGUGUGUAUAAAUAAAUGCAUGCACACAGACAAUACAAUAUUAUUCAGCCAUAAGAGAGAAGGAAAUCCUGCCAUUUUUAACAACAUAGAUGAGCACGGAGGGCAUUAUUGCUAAUGAAAAAAGCUAGACAGAGAAAGGAAAAAUGGUGUAUGGUAUCACUCUCAUGUGAAAUUUAAAGUAACAACUGCAAUACACUCAGAAUAGAAUGGUAAUUGCCAAAGGUUGAGGAAAAUGUUGAGAUGUUGGUCAAAGGUUACAUACUUUAGUAAUAAGAUAAACACAUUUAAAGUUCUAAUGUACACCAUGGUGAUUGUAUUUAAUAGUGCUGUAUUUCAUGCUUGGGAUUAAUUUUCUAUAAGGAUAGAUUAAGCAUUCUUAACAAAAAAGAAAAAGUUAACUCUGUGAGGUGAUGGAUGUGGUAAUUAGCUAAUUAACUUGAUUACGCUAAUGACUUCAUAACAUUUAUGUGUAUCAAAUCAUCACAUUGUGCACUUUAAAUAUAUACAAUUCUAUUUGUCAAUUAUAACUCAAUAAAGCCGGAGAUUAAAAAAAAAAAGAAGAACAGUAGCUUCUAUUUUCUUUUUUCUAUGUGCAAAAGGCAUUCCUGUUCUUUGUUCCUUAAGAAUUGAGGGGCUAUUGGAUUAUAGGAUGAGAGAUAUAGAUAUAAGUAAGAGAUAUAUAGGUGACUUAGCCACAACACAAUUUGGUCAAUUCUCCAUGGAAGUUUUGCCCCCCACAAAAAAGUGCAGAUGGAUCUCUGGGUCAGUGGCCUGUGAAAAUAUCGGAUUUUUUUCCUUCAUUUUUCUAAAAUAUCAAGGAAAUGAGAGACAGGUUUCUUUAUCAUGUGCCCAGUUCUCCAAUGGAAGAAGACAGAGGUGCCAUUACCCUAGAAGAUACUCCAUAUCAAGUCAUGCUAUGGCCUAUAAGCCUUCCACAAAAGCUGUUGGUCACUCCCAGAAUUCCAUGUCAGUCAAAUACAGAGGGUUGCACAUUUUGAAACCUUAUUCAGUAAAGCAUUCAAGCACUGAAGAGGGGGUAGAAUGAUUGACAUAGACCGGGGCUGCUGGAAUAGGUAGGUUCCAAAUAAGAACAGAACCAUGAAUUACAACCAGGGCAGGUGGUCAGCACAAGGCAGAAACUGAUUCAAACAGGAAGACAAGCCAAAAAGACAAAAAUUUCAAAGGCAGACUAAAGUAGGUCAUAAGGUCAAAAAGCAAAUGACUGUCAGAAGUCACAAGGGCAGGGCCAAGGUAGCAGGGUGAGCCAAGAAUAAGCCAUCUCCUUCAAUCAGAGGGAAACCCUUGCUACAUUCCAAAAGUGUUUGUUUACUUCAUAAGGCAGAGGUACCUGUUUGGCUCUUGGGGUUUAUAUGGGCCUUAUGGGUGGUGUUAUAAUUAAAUAGCAGAGUAGUACUUUAACACUCUGCUAAUUCUCAGGUUAUAUUUGUAAACAAGCCAGGGAAGCUUGAAGUGAUGUUUCACAUUAGCAGUAUACAUUUUGGUACACUAGAGAUCAUUUUAAGAAUAAUUUUGAUUUAUACUUGCGCACUCACCUCAUUUAUUUUAUAAGUCUAGACUUUAAAGGAGGAUCCUCCUCAAAUAUUUAGGAAGAACAACUUAUCACUUGUUCAACACCCCCUUUAAAAGUCUAGAAGCCUUCCUUUUGGGACUUAGACUGUUGUCUCUGUGAUAUGGCCCCUCCUUUCCCACCUGCUCAGGAAAUGUGAGCUGUGAAUUGCAGCUGAUUUGGAAUUUAAAGAGACUGCAACUCAAGUGUGACAGCAACUGCGCUAUUUGUUCACCAGACUGUUAAGCCUGUCAUUUCCCAAGGCGACCUUAGAGCAAACUCUUAUUUAAUUGUUUAAGCACGAGAAGCAAAAAUGUCUAGGUACCCUGCUUCUCUAAAUUUUUUUUUCCUAUUGGGGCUUUUUUUCUCUACUAGUUAGCAUUUAAAUCAAAGAAAUAUAAACUAGGUGAGAUGACCUCUUGAAGACUGAAGAUCACAAUAAAAUUGUAAUAUGCAAGAUCUCAAGGGGAUGAUUCAGGAAAAAUGUGGCAUAAAAGAAAUGUUCUUCCACACUUUUCUACAAAUAAUUUUAAACUUUAUUUAUUUAUUUAUUCAUCUAUUUUGGGUUUAAAUGGCCACAUGGCUAAAGUAACAAAAUCAGAUGAGUAGGCCCUAUUUCUUUGGCUCACUCCUUGAUCCUUUUAAAGCUAUAGGUACAAGACUGGCAAUUAGUUCCUGAGUGGCAUGAACAGUGCCAUUUUGCUUAUUUUCAACAAGUAUUAUCUGUCAUCCUUCAUUAGAUUGACCCAGAAACUGUGGGAAACCAUGACCCAAUAUUUAAGGGGAAUCAAGAUUAUAAUCACCAGUGUUGAACAUGAUUUUAUCAUUGGUGCUCCUCAUCAGUUGGUAUGUUUUCAGUUCCCUGGGGAGAGGUUACAGAAUUCCCAAGAAGAUCUUCUAUGAGCAAUUGGAAGGAAUUUUUCUCAAUAUCUCUAGUAUGUUUUGCUUUGCGGAACAUGGCUGCAUUUGAGAGGAAGGUGUGUUUGACUUUUCUCAAGGCUGUGCUUUAUUGUUCUUAACUCCAAUGGUAUUUAAAGGUGAAAGGAUACAAAUUAAAUCACAUGCAUAUUCUGUAAGACCAUAGACGAUAGGCAGGUAAGGUUCAGGGGUAGGCUGAAUGUCGGCAGAUUUCCAUCUCCAGCUCAGUGUUAAAAUAUUGCAGCGAGAGUACGAAGAGGAAAAACUGGUAUUAUUUCUAUUUUAUCUGUAAAGCUCACUCUGGGCUCAGGCCAAUAAAAUGUUUGGCCAAUAAAAUAUUAACUCAUAUUCAUGCAAAAGCUUCAAAAAUCACUUGCAUGAUAUGUUCACCUUUUCUUGGAAAUUUGCUACCAUCAGUGUGAGUAUAGGUUAACAUGCCUAAACCUUGGCAUGGGAAGAUAGUAAAGGUGUUUUAUUCAAUUAGCUGACAUCCUGACAACUUCUAAAUAGGAGGGAGCCUAACCAAGACAGGCAGAAACAUUUAACAACCUUGUAUGUGUAGCAGAGUAGCUGAGGGCAGACACAAAAUGAGCCUACCUGAGCCCAGCUUAGAUCAGUGUAAUUGCUCAAUCACCCUAUAAACUCAUAAAAUGUAAGAAAUGUUGACUGUUGUAUAACAAUGAUAUUUUAUGUUGUUGAUCACACAGCAUUAAUGUGGCAAUAGAUACCUGACACACCAGCCCAAUGAACAUGAUCAGUGAGUGUUAGCUAUAUACAUCUCAUCUCAUUGAAUCUAACGUGCUUUGAUAAUGGUAUCUCCUUGCUUUUUCUAGAAGCUAUCUAUAGAAAGCUUCUUUACAAUGGCAUAAUAAUCACCAUAUGGCAGGCAGUGACUUUUAUAUUCCAUGAAUUCAAAGAUGCAUCUUUAAUUCAAAUAUGCUAUAGUGCUAAAUUUCUGCUUAUUGUGGAAAAUUUUGUUAAAAAUCUUUAGGAUACCAGUGACCUGUGAGUGCAACUGGGUGCAGCUCCUUGGGACUUGAGUGGCUGUAGAUGCAAAGAUUGCAGCUUGGUAUAUUAUGGCAUCAGAGUCUCAGUCAGGCUCACUGAGGUCAGAGGCACCUGUAACUGGCCAGUGGACCUCUCCAUUGAAGCAGAUCAGUGCUAUUCUUAUUUUCCUUAGUGACAGGAGCAGUGUGGGACUCUCAUGAGAGUUUCCAGUUUGCCUAAACACCACAAUGGCAAAGCCUUCACAAAUAAGGCUUUCUUCCACAUUUACAGUUUGAGGGGUAAACUAUGCCCCCCAGGAUCUCUUAAUGCUAAACUGGGGUAGUGUUUAAUUGUGCUGCAUAUAAGUGAUAUGAGACAGCCAAGAAGAGUUUAAAUACAACAAUUAUGGCAAUAGUCAGGGAGACUUUAAAUACUACAAUUAAAAUUACUUGUUGUGUGUUUUGCAUGUUAUGUUUUGUCGGGGUCUGUAUACCAGACACAGAUUAAUAUUUUAUUCCCUAUAUCAAUAUUUUAUAGUUUUUAGUAGAAUGAGGUAAACGAGGUUAGUAUUUUGUGUUUAAAUUUUAAAUGGAAGUUUACAGACAUUGCAAGAAAAUUAAUACUGUUAUUUCAUUGUUAUUGGACCAAAAAAAGGAGAACACAGGUUGAGGCAAUACUUGGCUCCAAAUAACUUUCACCUGCAAUUUUUCUUUCUUUCGUAGAAAUCGUACUCGUCUUUAAACAGAAGUAAAUAAAGCAAGGUUCUCUAAGCACCUUUCAUAUCCUCUGAGGGCCACUACAAUGAGGAGUCACCAAAGUAUUACAGAAUUGAUGGCACAACACAGGGAUCAUGCUUGUGCCUUCCAUGGUGAAAGCCCUAAAGGGAGAAAUUAUUGGUUCAGAGGAAUCAGCCUGCUCUAGCUGAAUGAUGAGCUCAUUCGGAAUCUUCUUUCUACCAAGGGAUGCCCAUGACUAGGAAAAUGUCUUUGCUUUGUUAAAAAGGCCUCAGCCAAAGCUACCGAAUGACCUUCCAUCUUAAAUCCAGCUUUGGUUUCCUACCAAGUGAACCCUUCAUGGUUCACUGGGAGGUCAGUGGUACUGACCAGGUAGUUUGGAGAGAGCAUGAGUUUGGGAGUCACAAAAACCUUAACCCAAGUUCUGGCCUUUCCUGUGAAAUGCCAACCUGAUUUUGCUAGGCUCUUUACUCUGAAUGUCAAUUUCAUCCUUAAGUAAAGGGUGGUUAAUUUUCACCUUAAGUAAAGGGUGGUUAAUUUUCACCUUGUAAGAUAUGAUGAAAAUUAGGAAAAAUGAGAUACAGCAAACAACUACAUAAAGAGGUCAGUUUCAAUUUCCACCUUUCCCUUCCAUUUUAUUAUUUUUAUUUUGGGAGGUACCAGGGAUUGAACUCGAGGACAAUCAACCCCUGAGCCACAUCCCCAGCCCUUUUCUAUAUUUUAUUAUAGACAGGGUCUCACUGAGUUGCUUAGUGCCUCACUUUUGCUGAGGCUGGCUUUGAACUAGCGAUCCUCCUAUUUCAGCCUCCCGAACUACUGGGAUUUCAUGUGUGCACCACCAUGCCUAGCUAUUUUAUUAUCUUGCUAUUUUCCAGUCUUGAAUGCCUCUCUUUGGAACUGGGUAUUGCUAGUACAUUUGCCUAAAUGUUCAGGUUUGCCCGCUACUAAAUGAUAGAAGUCUAUUCUCCUCUCCCUUGAUGGAGCAUUCCCCCUUCCAGUGGACUUCUCUGAAGUGACCACCAGCAAAGAGCACAAGUAUACACCUCUGCUGUUCACACUACUCUUCCUGAUUUCUCUGUCUCUGUCAAUGCUAAUGCCAUUCAAUGGUCAUUCUGUGCUCUCUUUCCUUUCCCAGGAGAGUCACAGUACCACUGCUUACCCCUCUUCAGCGCCAGACUCCGAAGCAACCAGGUUGGGAAGAAUGUGGAUGGAUCAGUGCAGCUCAUCACCAUGGAACCUCAUUUAAAGAGAAUUUGGUAUGAGAGGUGGUCAUCUGCACCAUCUUCAUAUAAUAAAUGAGGGACAAAUGCAUCAAGGCCCUUAGGGUCCAUUGAGACUACUGUAAACAUGGACAUAAAGGUCUCUAGAAAGUUCAUAUGUUAAAGAAGAACACAAGUGACCAUGAAUCUGCCACGUUUUAUAUGCCAGGCUUUUUACUAAAGGCACACAUCAAUUAUUUCAUUUAAUGCCUCACAGCAGGCCUGUGAUGUGGGUACCACUAGUAGCUCUCUUUGUGACAUUUUCAGUUGUAGAGAAAUUCAGUGCUUGUGCUUCACAGAAAGUUGUAUACGUACCGAAUGGCUAAGCUAGAACUUAGCACCUGUCAGCCUGACUCCAUAGGUUUCUCUGCUUGCCUCCAGUUGAAGCCUUCCUCAGUUGGGCAUUGGCCAUUUUCGGAUUCUGACUCUACAGAUGAGCUGAUGUGUUGGUGGAAGGAAGAACAUCUGUGUUUCUGUUAUAAAAAGAAAAGCUGUGAUCACAGCCACAUGCAAUCAAAUUCAGAGCCUUAAGGAUUCCUCAGGGUUUAUGGAAUGUAGUUUGAGGCACACAAGUGUCAACGUCUGAUGACAGGGAGGAAACAUAACACCCACAGUGGCGUCUUUGGCCACCAGUGCAUGAAAUGUCCUAUGAGUAAGUAGAUGGCCUGCACUGCCUUCCUGCUCCUGGAAUUCACCCUUUACACUGUCGCAUGGGAUGAUAGGACAAGUGUGUGUGAGUAGAGCCAAUGAUAAUUAGAAGUCACUCCCCUCAUUGCCAUGUGAAGACAAUGUUAAUUAAUUAAAAGUGGAUUACCUCUGUGGUUGGAGAAAUGAAAUAAGGGCAUUGUGGAUUGCAUCUCCUGAAGCAGAAACACAGCACAAUUAUUUCUGUUCUUGUAUUUCAAUAUCAAAACUACCUUAUUUGAAAUCCUCUCACUCUAGAUUUUAAGAUGCCUCUGUCUUUCAGAAGGCAUCAUGCUUAGCUUUGCAGGGUGGGGGUGUGAAGUUGCCUAACUCUUUCUCUUGCCUCUGGGCAAUGUCAGGCAGGGGCAACUGACUGAUUUGUCAAACAUUUUAUUUAUGUCAUUCAUGAAAUAGAAAUAUAUAAAGGAAAAUAUGCUCUUUGCUUUGAAAAAUUAAGAUGUACUGGGUGCAUAUGUGGUUAUAUGACUCAAUACAGGCCAACUGUGCUUGUGUACAAGCCAGAAAAAAAAUUUGUGUAUAUGCACUAAAAAAAAUGAAAUAUACAAUCAAGCUAGUUAAUAUACCUUUCACUUUACAGAGUUACCAUUUUUGUGGUAAGAUUAAUGAAUAUCAAAAUAACAUAUUUUAGGCAAGUAUAGGGGCAGAUGCCCAUAAUCCCAGCAGCUCUAGAGGCUGGGUGAGACAGGAGGAUCACAACUUUGAGGGCAGCCUUAGCAAUUUUACCCUUAGCAACUUAGUGAGACCCUGUAUCAAAAUAAAAUAUAAGGGACUGGGGAUGUGGCUCAAAUAGUUAAGCGACCUUGGGUUCAGGCUUCAGCAUAAAAAAAAUCACAUUUUACACUUUGAAUGUGUACAAUUAUACAUUGCACACAUUCAAAGUGCAAAAUGUGGCAAGUCAGCUAUACCCCAAUAAAGCUGAAAAUAAUAAUGAAAAGCAAUACAUGAUUUAUUUAAAAAGUAUGUGUUUAUGUACUUUUUAAUGGUAGAAAAGAGAUAUUGUUUUAAAAAUAUAUAUUGUAAGUUAUCAUAAGCUACGACUAGGAACAGCAGGAAUCACAGAUAAAAUUCUACCAAAAAGACAUUAUUAUUUGUGUACCUCUUACUUUUAUACAUUCCUUUACUCUUAGAAAAAUUUGAUGAAGAUUCAAAGUCUUAUUUGAUCCAAUAUUCAUUUUGAUUAAGAAUAUGUCUUCAAACCACAUUUGAGCUUUUCCAGAAAGUGGAAGAGAAAAAAAUCUGUGGCUUCCUUUGGCUCUCACAAGGAGUAGGUUGUGAAGAGGGCUUGGACUUGCCUUCUGCCCAGGACUUUCACCUUGGAGAAUUCAUCAAAACAGGAGAUGGAGAUGCUAUGGAAACCGGGAAAGAGAGUUGUUGCAUGCUAGCCAGUGGGAAAAUAACCACUAUUCCCUUCUGGAAGCAAAUUUAAAAGCAAAACGUGUGUGUGUGCAUGUGUGUGUGUGUGUGUGUGUGUGUGUGUAGCCUUAAACAACACAGGCUUUGGAAAAGCUGCAUUUACACUGCAUCUCUUACCAGUUGUAAAAGGAUAAUCAUCUAUUUACAAUGAUUUGGUCGCUGCAUCUUUUGCAGCUAUUAAUUCAAAACAGCCUCAAACUGUUUAAAAGUAGAAUUGUGCUAUAAUGACUUUCCUCAAGGAAAGAGACUGAGUAUGAAAUUGAGUUCCUUGGGAAAGCACAUUCUGAAUUCUGCCAGCAGGAAGCCCCUCUUGUGAAUUGACAGGGAUAGGAGGUUCCAUCCCCAUCACUUCAGCUAGACAAAUAUUCCUCAAGAGCUGCACGUUCUGGCCCACUUUUUCUCUUUUCUUUGUCUUUGUGUGUAUGAGCUUGUGUAUGAUUUCUCUUUGCAAUAAUGCAUGCUGCUCCAACCAUCAUUAAAAUGAUUGAUUUUAUCCUGUUUUCCUGAUCAUUUUGUUGGUUCAGUGACUGGUAAGAGCACCUACAUUUUCUUUGAAGUCUUUUCUUGUGAUGAGGCUUCCUUUCAGGACUGUUAGCCUUUUUCCAGAAUUCUCCUGAGCAUUGUAUAUAAGGCAACCACCUGUUCGAUUUCCAUGUCUCUUGUCUCCUAGGGAUUACCUGUCCAAUUCUAGUGCACACUUUUUAGAAAUCCUAAGGGUUUCUGAUAAGACUGGAGGGAAUUGAUACUGUUUGCUAUUUAUGGAUGUGGAUGACAAGCCACCCCUAAAAGAGUCCCUCCCUUUCCAGAAAUAUCAAUAUUUGUUAAUUGUGGGUUUUGUGGGCACCUCUGAGAAUCUACCUACAUGAGUUGACAAUUGCAACUUAAUUUAAUCACUACGCAGGAUCUGAAAAUAGCUUUUAAAUCAGAGCCUAGAAACUUACAAAGCUUCCAGCCCCCAUGGAACCUAAGCUUGGGGAUUUUUAAGUCCUAGUGACAUUUUUUUUUGGAAUGUUAAGAUUUAGAGUUGGACUUGCUAAGCUAACACAUUAAACUGAAAACGAAAAUUAAAAAAAACAAAUUCCCAGCAAUUAACAAUGAUCUUCAAGAAGUAAAGAAUAUUUUAUCAUCAAUAAGACGGAAGAACAUGAUGUAAAAUGAAAGGAUAACCAUUUAUUUUUUGUAAGUUUAGCUUUAAAAUGAAUAUCUUUUUUUUCCUAAUUUUUAAAGCCUGUAUUAUUGAAUCUUCAUCAUACUCGCCAAUGUGAAUAAAAUGCAUGAAAUUAAUGCUCAGUGAGAGAAGCCAGACUCAAAAUCAUCAUAAAGAAAAGAUGUGAAAAAAUGGGAAAAAAGAAAAUCUGAGCAAAAUUUAUUCAUUGCAGGUUCUAAUUCCCAUCACAACAGAUUCAUGAUUUAACUCUUAAAAUAGCUUGGCUUUACUAACAACUAAAGCCAGAUAUUCCAAGGAAAAAUUUUCAGGUUCUCCCAUAUAGCUGGUUAAUUAUGCAAAAGUAUUCCACACAGCAAAAAUAAUUUAUUGGUCUUCUUGAGGAAAUUCAUCUUAUCCUGAAACACUUGGGAACUGGGUUAUCAGCUCAAUUUCAGAAGGCAAAUAUUUACUCAUUGUAGCAUUGUUUCCCACAGGUAAUUGGAAUUCAAAUAUGAAAGUAUUUAAGGUUUAAAUCUAAGACAACUUUUUGUGUCUUGAUAUCAUAAAAUCUUUCAAUGAAAAGAUAUCCUUUUGUUCAGUUUUCUGUAUUUAAGAUUCUAUUUAUUUAUUUAUUUACUCUUAGAAAUGUGCCAGGUGGUAUUCCAGACCUCAGGACAACAGAGACAAAUACCUCAAGAAGUUCAUACACCAGAGGAAGACAGGCACAUAAACAGAUAAGGACCACAUGGAGGAAUCUAUGCUGGAAUGAAGAUUUGUAAAAAGAGUUAGAAUUGAUAGAUAUGUGGUUUAAUAAAAACAUUACUGUGAAUUUAACAUAUGGAGGGACUGCCAAAUGAUUUUCAAAAGCAGCUGUACUAUGUCAAAAUCUCACUAGCAAUUUAAGAGAAAUCAACUUUUCCACAUCCUUGUUUACAAUUGUUACUGUCUUGUCUUUGUUUUUAGCUAUGUUAGGGAGGUUGAAGUAGCACUUACUUGUAGUUUUGAUUUGCAUUUCUCUGCUGACUACUGAUGUUGAACAUUUUUAAUGUGCUUUUUGAUUAUGUGUAUAUCUUCUUUGAAUAAAUGUUUUCAUAAAAAUAAAAAAGAAAAGAUGUGAACAGGUGACGUGACUCUCUGCUAAUAGAAGUCAAUGUAGUGAGAUAUCCUCAAGGGGUAGAUGGGGGUAUCUAGAGGGGACAAGGGAGGAAACGAUUCCAGGGCAUUGCUAGUGCUACAUCAA